RNAcentral lists this ribosomal RNA (207 nucleotides) under uncultured bacterium. RNAcentral's name for it is "partial 16S ribosomal RNA". It matches the Rfam family "Bacterial small subunit ribosomal RNA", at positions 524 to 729 of the family's 1533-position model. The record is from RNAcentral.
UACGUAGGGCGCAAGCGUUAUCCGGAAUUAUUGGGCGUAAAGAGCUCGUAGGCGGUUUGUCGCGUCUGCCGUGAAAGUCCGGGGCUCAACUCCGGAUCUGCGGUGGGUACGGGCAGACUAGAGUGCAGUAGGGGAGACUGGAAUUCCUGGUGUAGCGGUGAAAUGCGCAGAUAUCAGGAGGAACACCGGUGGCGAAGGCGGGGUCUC